UACGAGGGGGGCGAGCGUUGUUCGGAAUUAGUGGGCGUAAAGGGUGCGUAGGCGGUUCCGCAAGUCCUGUGUGAAAUCUUCGGGCUCAACUCGAAGUCUGCACGGGAAACUGCGGGGCUUGAGUGUGGGAGAGGUGAGUGGAAUUUCCGGUGUAGCGGUGAAAUGCGUAGAUAUCGGAAGGAACACCUGUGGCGAAAGCGGCUCACUGGACCAUUACUGACGCUGAUGCACGAAAGCUAGGGGAGCAAACAGG
RNAcentral lists this ribosomal RNA (253 nucleotides) under uncultured bacterium. Its description in RNAcentral is "partial 16S ribosomal RNA". It matches the Rfam family "Bacterial small subunit ribosomal RNA", at positions 524 to 776 of the family's 1533-position model. The record is from RNAcentral.